GAGGGAUCAUUACCGAGUUUACAACUCCCAAACCCCUGUGAACAUACCACUUGUUGCCUCGGCGGAUCAGCCCGCUCCCGGUAAAACGGGACGGCCCGCCAGAGGACCCCUAAACUCUGUUUCUAUAUGUAACUUCUGAGUAAAACCAUAAAUAAAUCAAAACUUUCAACAACGGAUCUCUUGGUUCUGGCAUCGAUGAAGAACGCAGCAAAAUGCGAUAAGUAAUGUGAAUUGCAGAAUUCAGUGAAUCAUCGAAUCUUUGAACGCACAUUGCGCCCGCCAGUAUUCUGGCGGGCAUGCCUGUUCGAGCGUCAUUUCAACCCUCAAGCACAGCUUGGUGUUGGGACUCGCGUUAAUUCGCGUUCCCCAAAUUGAUUGGCGGUCACGUCGAGCUUCCAUAGCGUAGUAGUAAAACCCUCGUUACUGGUAAUCGUCGCGGCCACGCCGUUAAACCCCAACUUCUGAAUGUUGACCUCGGAUCAGGUAGGAAUACCCGCUGAA
This 501-nucleotide ribosomal RNA is filed under the name Fusarium oxysporum. RNAcentral's name for it is "eukaryotic LSU rRNA". The stretch from base 161 to 314 matches the Rfam family "5.8S ribosomal RNA". The record is from RNAcentral. Lineage: Eukaryota; Fungi; Ascomycota; Sordariomycetes; Hypocreales; Nectriaceae.